Numida meleagris (helmeted guineafowl) is the source of this 1925-nucleotide long non-coding RNA. RefSeq lists it as uncharacterized. The record is from RefSeq and is a predicted model, not a curated record. The transcript is spliced from 2 exons. NCBI's taxonomy places the organism in Eukaryota, Metazoa, Chordata, Aves, Galliformes, Numididae.
CAAUCUGAAAUCAGAGACCACACUGCUGCUCGCAUCACCUCUGCAAGCUGAGACUCCUGUGUCAAAUCAGGGCUCUCAAGACAGAAGUCAUAUUUCUCAAACAACUUUCACAAGGUGCACAGAGGAGUACUUUGAUAAUAAGAGUGAUGUAACAGGCUCCAGCAGCUCUCCUUUUUCUCCACAUGAAGGCAGUCAGUAAAGGACCAAGUCCAGUGACUGAACACUGGCUACUGCAAUGCACAGGACCUACAAUCUCCUGGGACAUCAACAUGUAUGGUACAUUUGAGAGACAGAGCCUGCAGUACAGAUCGAGCCAGCUACUGCUGAGAGUAAGGACGAGGCUUUUGCUGACUUCAGGACAAGUCACAUCGGACCCUUUACUACGAUCUAUGCAUGAGAUGCUGUUUCCUUGCACUCCCUUUCUGCAUGAUGCAAGCGGCUUCUGGACUAUGACACAGCAGAAUAAGAGACAGAAUGAGCCUUCCACUGCUCUGCCAUCCGUCCUGCAGUGCCUGCUAUUUCCAAGGUAUUUCACGUCGCACACCAGCUAAUCAAACCUGACAGUGCAGCCCAGAUAUCAGACCCCAGCAGUGACUGCCUUGAGGAGCUGUCAGAGUGAACUCUCUUGACAAAGCCGACUGAAUAUGUAUGGAAAUAAGCUGAGAAAGAAAAUUUCCUGACCAGAUCUCACUACCUACUCCACUGACCCUCACUGGGUAUGGUGACAUCACACCUACCUCUCAAGAGACCUGGGAAAAACAAAGCCACAACACGUGAAACAAAUAUGCACCCUCCUGGGCAAAGAAAACCCAGUAAGGAACAGCUGUUUCUACCACACCUGGCAUUUCUUAAUGAAUUGCUCCUUUAGCAAAGCAGACUUUAUCCUCAAGAAUUAAACACAUUAAAGGCUUCCUUCCCAAACCCAACAGUGUUCAAAGCAGUUAAUGGUAUCAGGCCUAGACAAACUGGAGAUUGUUCCAGUCUAUGAACAGUGAAGUCCCUCUGAAGCAGUGCUGACCGCAAACCAUAUGAGAAAGGGGAAUAACGUCAUUCAGGGAUCUUGCUAUCCAAGGAUUUCCUAGAGGUAUCAAAGAAAUUCAAACUAGAACAGUAUUUAGGAAGUACUGCCAGCUUUCCCCUUGGAGAAGGUCCUUCCACCAUUAGACAGACAUACCUCACCCAAAUGCUACUGCCUUCUGUUUGAAAUAACUCCACCCAAACUGACCCAUCACCCACCCCAUCAGCAGUCCCAGUCCCAGGAUGGGAGCCAGGGCAGCCUCAGUGGGGCUGUAAUCCUGCCAUGCAAAGCCCACAAGAGAAAACAGAAGGUGAAAGAUGUGGCAGGAGCACCCACUGUCAUCUCAGGGAGUGCCACAGGAUGCUAGAAAAGGGAAAACAGGGAGCUGCACACAUCUGUUACAGGAUCUGCCCUUUAUUACCAGUUGCCAGCUGCAGGACACACUUUCUGUGCUGUACAGCUUAGAGGAUAAGCUGGUUUUAGAAGAUCCAUAUUUUAAAAAGAAUGUUACUUAAAGCACUAUUGAGAAGCUUGUAUGUCCUCCCUUGAACUUGAUGCAGCUGAAUUCCCAGUACUGAGAUGUCUGACUUUACAGGCCAGAAGCUACUACAGUCCUGUAAUAUUUUUCGCAGCCCCUUAAAACAUUUGAAGUAUGCUUUCACUUUCAAAGGGAAUACACAAAGUAUAGGCUGGAAUCAAACAGUAAUGAAUAACUGAGAAAAUAUGAAGAGAUGUGGCACAGAAGGUGACGUUUUCCAUAUCAUUAUUGUAAGCACCAUUAUUUAGGGCUUCAAGAGCAGGCACUGUGCGUGGUGGAUGUUUGGAAAGCUGGAACUCGCUCACUAGCUUGUAACUCCCAAUUCUAUCUCUGUUCAGUCCCCAGAUAAAAUUUUCCCAAGAUAAAUUA